UACAGUCUUAGUUCAAGUGAUUCAAAACGGUUUUAAUUGAGUUACAUUGUAGGGGAUCAGUUUUCUGUUCAGUAGAUGGAAAUCAUUCUGAAUCAUUUGGUUUAGAAACUAGAUAUUACUUUUUGUGAAUAGAUACUGUUAACAGGGUAGGUGUAGAGUACAUGCUACACGGUAUAAAAAUAACAUUCACUGAUGUUCUGACCGUAAAUUAAUCAGAAACUUCCAGCAUCAGUUUGCUUAACAAGUAUUUCAUAUUCUUGUACAUUCUAACUAAAAUGAAUGAGCAAGAAGUGUUAUCACUACAUGUUUCAAAUGGCGAGAAGGGCUCAUCUAAACUGAUCAGUUAAGGCACAAAUUACCUGAUAAAUAUUUAGAGAACAAGGCUUAGAAGAGUCUUGCUCGUUAUUUGUCUAAUUCUCUACUAUAAACAUACAGGUAAUUCAUGAUGUUUACCCUAGGUGCAGUAUCUGGAGAUAACCAUUAAAGAUUUAGUUGCUUUAUCACUGGUGUAUAGCGCUAAGAUGCUUCAGAGAAGUGUAAAACUUUGGCUAAUACAAAACAGACACUGUGUGACACAUAGAUGAUUCCUCAUUUCAGAUUACCUGAACACCAGUCGUGAUACUUAGGAUAUGGCAAAUUUCAUGAGAUCCUGGCCAGCUGAAUUGAAUCCCUAGAAGAAUUCAUCUCACUUAUUCCAGGUCAAUAAAAUGCAGAUGUUUAAAUUCCCAUUGUAAUAAAUGAAAAUCCAGUUAAUAUAGUCAAUGGAACCUGGAAAGCAAUUGAUUUCAUCAUAAAGUAGGCAACCAUAUUCGUUCAGUUUUCAAGGAAUUCAGAUCCCCAGUUCCAGCAAGUUCCAUGUGUCUUUAAAAAGUGUGAUACGGUCAAAACAGAUAGCUGAUCUGACUCUGGUUGGCCCACCACCUGUUUUGCCUCUCUGGACAACAUCAACUUAUCACUGCAUCUUUUGUUUUGAAUUGGGGAUGAAGGGGUGCUGGGAUUUCUUUUUCCUCUGAAUUCCCCUCAUAGCAGUAAGUUCAACUACCAUAAUAAAUAAAUAAGAGAGUAAGUAAUUAAGUAAGUA
RNAcentral lists this long non-coding RNA (1081 nucleotides) under Anser brachyrhynchus (Pink-footed goose). RNAcentral's name for it is "lncRNA (ENSABRG00000009871.1)". The record is from RNAcentral. Lineage: Eukaryota; Metazoa; Chordata; Aves; Anseriformes; Anatidae.